Non-coding RNA from Camellia sinensis, 266 nucleotides. The record is from RefSeq and is a predicted model, not a curated record. Lineage: Eukaryota; Viridiplantae; Streptophyta; Magnoliopsida; Ericales; Theaceae.
UACUGGGAGAAGGCAGAAUUUCCAUUUGAUGUUCUUCCAAAGCUUGCUGCCCUAGGUAUUGCUGGUGGCUCAAUUAAGGGUUAUGGGUGUCCAGGUCACUCCAUUACAGCAAGUGCCAUAACCAUGGCAGAAAUUGCCAGAGUUGAUGCAAGCUUCUCUCUUUUUUUUAUGGUGCAUUGUUCUUCAGCAAUGAAAACUAUCGCACUAGCAGGAUCUGAAACACAGAAGCAGAAAUAUUUACCUUCACUAGCACAAUUAAAAACUAU